UACGUAGGGGGCGAGCGUUGUCCGGAAUUAUUGGGCGUAAAGAGCGUGUAGGCGGUUUUGUAAGUCUGCUGUGAAAUCCUGGGGCUCAACCCCGGACGUGCAGCGGAUACUGCCGGUCUAGAGGGUGGUAGAGGCGAGUGGAAUUCCGAGUGCAGCGGUGAAAUGCGCAGAUAUUCGGAGGAACACCAGUGGCGAAGGCGGCUCGCUGGGCCACUCCUGACGCUGAGGCGCGAAAGCGUGGGGAGCGAACAGG
RNAcentral lists this ribosomal RNA (253 nucleotides) under uncultured bacterium. RNAcentral's name for it is "partial 16S ribosomal RNA". It matches the Rfam family "Bacterial small subunit ribosomal RNA", at positions 524 to 776 of the family's 1533-position model. The record is from RNAcentral.